RNAcentral lists this ribosomal RNA (315 nucleotides) under Rhipicephalus sanguineus (brown dog tick). Its description in RNAcentral is "partial 12S ribosomal RNA". The record is from RNAcentral. Lineage: Eukaryota; Metazoa; Arthropoda; Arachnida; Ixodida; Ixodidae.
AUUAUGAAAAGCAAAAAAUUAUGGCGGUAUUUUAAGCUUUUCAGAGGAAUUUGCUCUUUAAUGGAUAAAACACCAAAAUCUUACUUAAAUUUGUUACUUCAAUUUGUAUACCACUAUAAAAACAAUUUAUAACUUUAAUUGUUUAAAUUUAUUAAAUUAAAAUAUAUUAAGUCAAGGUGCAGUAAAAAUUUAAGAAUGAAGUGAAUUACAUUACUUUUUAGUGAAAAAAAAAAUUAUAAUAACACUUAGGAUUUGAAAGUAAAUUUGAAAUAGGAUGUCAAUUUGAAUCAAGCUCUAAAAUAUGUACACAUCGCC